RNAcentral lists this ribosomal RNA (418 nucleotides) under uncultured bacterium. RNAcentral's name for it is "partial 16S ribosomal RNA". It matches the Rfam family "Bacterial small subunit ribosomal RNA", at positions 363 to 773 of the family's 1533-position model. The record is from RNAcentral.
UUUGGACAAUGGGGGCAACCCUGAUCCAGCCAUCCCGCGUGCGCGAUGAAGGCCUUCGGGCUGUAAAGCACUUUUGGCAGGGAAGAAAAGGCUCUGGCUAAUACCUGGAGCUGCUGACGGUACAUGCAGAAUAAGCACCGGCUAACUACGUACCAGCAGCCGCGGGACGACGUAGGGUGAAAGCGUUAAUCGGAAUUACUGGGUGUAAAGCGUGCGCAGGCGGUUCGGCAAGAAGGAUGUGAAAUCCCAGGGCUUAACCUUGGAACUGCAUUCUUAACUGCCGGGCUAGAGUAUGUCAGAGGGGGGUAGAAUUCCGCGUGUAGCAGUGAAAUGCGUAGAGAUGCGGAGGAAUACCGAUGGCGAAGGCAGCCCCCUGGGAUAAUACUGACGCUCAUGCACGAAAGCGUGGGGAGCAAAC